RNAcentral lists this long non-coding RNA (11549 nucleotides) under Citrus maxima (pomelo). Its description in RNAcentral is "long non-coding RNA (CMAX_LNC004007)". Lineage: Eukaryota; Viridiplantae; Streptophyta; Magnoliopsida; Sapindales; Rutaceae. The record is from RNAcentral.
AAUAAUCUACCAUUAUAUAUUAUCACAAGUUAUACAGAGAUGAGUAAUAAUGCUAAUUAUUAAAUUUUAUUCAGGUAAGAAUGAAAAUUAAUUAAUGAAAUAGGGAUAUUUUGGAGAAUAUCUUUCAAUGAUUUAUUAAGGCUUUUUAAAUUAAGUAAAAAACUUAAAAAAAUUAGUUUAAUAACUUAAUGAGUUAAUUGAUUAAAAUUAAGUAAAUUAAGUCAAGUCAAAAAAGCAAAUGACUCGUAAGUCUCUAAAAUGCAAAUAAAAAAAUAACACAAAAAUUCGUGGGCGGGGGCAUUUCUGGGAACAAAUGGAUUUAAGAAAUGAGAGAAUUAAGGAUACCCAGAAAGAGCUAAGAACAUGUAAAAUGGUAAACAAAAGUUGUUGAAUAAAAGUUGGAAUGUCCUAGAAUCAAUGGACUUGAAAGAAGGAUGUAAACAAAUUCUUGUGCUUGGGUUGUAUGUUAUCCAAUAGAACAUGAUGGCAUGUCAAGAACAACUUUCACAAACCAUCUUGUAUAUUGUUUCUGUUUAAUGACUUUUUUUUCUUUCCUUUUCUCGAAACAUAUGUUUAAUGACUUCUUAAGCUGAAUAACCCGUUUCAGCUUUUAAUUGGACUAAAAUCCAUCUGAACCUUUUACCCUUAAAUUUAUGAGCAUAAUUGGGAAUGCAGGGAGGUGGAUGUGGUGGGGGUGUUUCGCUACAAGAACACCUGGCCACUGUGUCUGGAGUUCCUUAGAAGCGGAAAGAUUGAUGUAAAGCCCCUUAUCACGCACAGGUUUGGUUUCUCCCAGAAAGAAGUGGAAGAGGCCUUUGAAACAAGUGCUGGUGGUGGUACUGCAAUCAAGGUCAUGUUUAAUCUGUAAAAUACAACGUAAAGUAAACGUUUGGGCAAAAGAUGAAAUAAAAUGGAAUUGUCGCCGAGUAAUAUGAAUCAAAGUGUAGCAUAUUACUUUAUUUCUAUCUAUUACAAAAUAAAAUUCAGAUUUCUCAAGUUUUUUGUUCUUUAUUGUCUGCACUGUGCUAUAUUUUCUUCAUCCUUUUGUGUAUGCUUAUUUGAAAGCCAAUCAAUAGGUUUCCUGGUUAACAGAUGAUUACCCUGCAAGACAUUUCAGUCACCACUUUGGUUCAGCCGUGAGUUGUGUUUGCUGUAGACAACUGCAGAGUAAUUUCAACAUACCCGAACUCUUUCCUUUAACCUUCGUAACAUUUUUUAAAAGAUAAAACAAUUCUUUCAUACCAUUUUGCAAAAUUAGCCACCACUCACAUACAUGAAGUUGAUAUUGAUUCCUUUAUGAAGAUACAAUUAUUGCAAGGUUUCGAUUUCGGGGUCCAUUAAUUCUGAAAAAAAACAAAAUUAACAAACAACAAACGGUUCUGAAACCGAUAAAUUCUCUCCACGUAAGCACGUUAUCCCGUUGAAAAAAGAAACCAUAAUCUCUAUCACAAAUUUUUUAAAACUGUCAUUAGUAAUUGGAUUUAUCCUUAAAUAAAAAUGAGUCAGAUGAAAACAGAAAUCAAUCAUCUACGCGGAUAAAUACAAAGAACACUUGAUGUUAUGCCUCACUUGUCAUUAAAUAUUCCUGCGACCGAAUCAAAUCAUAUCCCAUAUCCAGAAUCAGAUAGUGUACAGAGUGAAGUCUCUGCUGUGCACUUGUGUUUUUGAAGGGUGAAAAGCAAAUAUGGGCAAAGGUGGGAUGUCACAAGGAGAAAAGGAAGAUGGAGAAGAAGUUAACAUGGCAGCUUGGCUUCUGGGUGUCAACACCCUCAAGAUUCAGCCUUUUGAGCUUCCUUCUCUGGGUAUUUUGAUCUUUCUUUCAUUUCAGUCUUGCAUCUUAGAAGUGUUAUGGAAUUUGUUUAUUGGUUGAAGAUAUGAACUUUUGAUAGAUUGAUAGAUAUCUAAAGAGAGAUCUUUGGUUGAAAAACAAUAAAAACACAUCUUCCAAUACAGCUUAUCUCAUACCUCUUACAAUUGAAUUAACUAUCACUCACAAUUAAUGUAAUUCAAACUGAUUGUUUUAACAUCUUUGUUUGUUAUUUGUAAACUGUAGGACCAUAUGAUGUUUUAGUCAGGAUGAAAGCCGUUGGUAUUUGUGGAAGUGAUGUGCAUUUUCUCAAGGUAUAUUUGUUAAUCCCUCUUCAACUUCCCUUAAAUUAUUAUUAUUAUUAUUAUUAUGGCAAUUACUCUGUCAAAUUGCUGAGAAAUGUUAAUAAUGGUAUAUUUUCACUUUAUGUUAUUCAAAAUAAUACUUGAAUGUUGAAUGUUUGUGUAUUUUUGCAGACCUUGAGGCUUGCCGAUUUUGUAGUGAAAGAGCCUAUGGUGAUCGGGCAUGAGUGUGCUGGGGUCAUAGAGAAGGUGGGAAGCGAGGUGAAGACUUUGGUGCCCGGUGACCGUGUGGCCCUGGAACCCGGGAUCAGCUGCUGGCGAUGUGAUCACUGCAAAGGAGGUCGAUACAAUUUGUGUCCAGAGAUGAAAUUUUUUGCAACUCCGCCAGUUCAUGGUUCUCUGGCUAAUCAGGUUGAUUGAAAAUUUACAUUUUGAGCUAAGGUCUAUAGGACUAUGAGAUGAGAAAUAUGGUAGACUGACUUUAACACAGUUUAUGCCCUUAUAAAUUUCAGUAAUGAUAUACUUACUAUGGUAAGUAUACCAUCACUACAGAACAAAAAAAUUUGAUUACAAGAUAAAAGAAAAUUCCACCGUAAGACAAUUUUUUUUUUGCUUUCUCUUACAGAUUUUGUACUAAUUAUUAUACAUACAUUAUUAUUCUAUAAAUUUUACUGUUUGAGAUUUUUUAGUGUCUUACAUUAUUACUACAAUACGAUCUAUGCCCUUGUGAAUUCUGUUGCAUAAAUAGUGGUGUCACUUUACCUGUUCUUCUAAAAACAUACUGGUUACUGUCAAUUGUGUAGUUCCGAUUUGAUCUUCUGUUCCCUCUUGUCAUAUAUUUUUUAUCUGGCAAUGUUUGUUGAUUCCUUUUAUUUGAAAUGAAAUUGGCUGCUAUUAAAAUUGAUCGGCUGCUUGACAUAAUGACUAAGAUGCAUUUCUUGUGUAUAAUAGGUGGUGCAUCCUGCAGACCUAUGUUUUAAGCUGCCCGACAAUGUCAGCCUGGAGGAAGGGGCUAUGUGUGAGCCCUUGAGUGUUGGUGUUCAUGCUUGCCGUCGUGCCAAUAUCGGUCCUGAGACAAAUGUGCUUAUCAUGGGUGCAGGGCCCAUAGGACUUGUCACAAUGCUAGCAGCUCGUGCUUUUGGAGCUCCUAGAAUUGUCAUUGUGGAUGUGGAUGACUAUCGUUUAUCUGUUGCAAAGGAAAUUGGUGCAGAUAAUAUUGUUAAAGUUUCAACAAAUUUGCAGGUAUAUUACUGCUCAUUGCCCAGCAGAAGAGUUUAGAAAAGUAAAAGACAUCUCAAAAUCUUCAUGCUCACAAUCCUUCCCUUUCUGGCUUUCUCUUAAUCAUCAUAACAACAUGUUUUGUUCAACCAACACUGUUGCAUUAAGACCUUGUUCUAACUUCCUCAGUUCAUUUUUGUUAUCACUACCUUUUGUUUUCUGUUUGAAAGUUGACCACUCUAAUCUGCAUUAUUCUUGUUAUCAGAGUAGAGGUGAGCUUGAGCUUUGGUUCGUUUGAAAAUUGAUCAUGUGCUCCUCACCCUUGUUUUUUCUGCUUGAAUAAACCGCUAUGCAUCGAGUAUUUUGCAGGAUAUAGCUGAAGAAGUGGAAAAGAUACAGAAAGCCAUGGGGACGGGAAUAGAUGUGAGCUUUGAUUGUGCAGGCCUUAACAAAACCAUGUCAACAGCACUGGGCGCCACUCGUGCAGGUGGUAAAGUUUGCCUCGUGGGGAUGGGUCAUCAUGAUAUGACUGUCCCACUCACUCCAGCUGCUGCAAGGUACUUGAUUUACGGUUUUCUUUUCCUUUUUUUUUCUUGUUUUGGGCUACUCCGUUAUUUACUUUAGGAAAAUGCUAUAUACCCCGGGUCAAACCCCAAAACUAAUUCAAGCGACGUUGUUUGAUCCUUUUUUUUUUUAUUCACCUUAAAACGACGCCGUUUUGUUUAGCUAACGUCAGCCUUAAUUGCUCUCUCUUCAUCUUCGUUUCAACGACAAAAUCGAUUUGGCUUAGACAAAACCGAUUUCAAGAACAUCAGCGACAAAACCGAUUUGGCAAAACCUUUAAGCUUUUAUCUUCCUUCUAGGUGAUUGGAUUUGGCUUAGAUAAGGCAAAAAGGAAAUCUUGAACAAGGUGGCUGCCAGGCGUGAUGGUGGUGCUAAUGGCUAGGUAUGCGUGAUGGUGGCUGCCAGUUGUGGAUCGCGAACGGUUGUGAAAUGAAGAGGAAGAUAAAGCAGUUGUUUUACAGAGACAUGGAAGGCGAAUGGUUGGGAGACGAAGAGGAAGAGAGAGCAAUUUUGGACCGUCGUUGCUUUUGUCUUAACUAAGCCAAAACGACAUCGUUUUUGGGAGAAUGAAAGGCCAAAAAAAAUAAAAAUGAAAUAGCGUCGUUUGCAUUAGUUUUGGAGUUUGACUUGGGGUAAAUAGCAACACUAUUUACUUUAAGUUUCUAGUUAGUUUCAGCAAAUUCACUUUAAGAUCACUUUUUUUUUUUUUUGAAAUCUGAGAAAAUUUGAAUUAGUGAUUUUUUUUUUUAUCUGAAUUGCUAAAAGUAAAUUUUAAAUUAUUUUUCUAACCUAAAAAAAAUAUAAAAACUAAUAUUUUUACAUUUAUAUCCUUACAAAUUAUAAAUGUUAAACAAAUAAUAAACAUAUCAAAAAAUAUAAACAAGAUAAUAUAUUAUUAUAACAUAAAUCAUAUUCAGUUGAAUACAACUCUUUAAUAUUUUAUAUUAAAUAUGUUAAUCAAAUUUAUUAUAGUUUAUGAUGUCUUUAUAUGAAAAAUAUUUAUAAAAAAUUAUGAAGAUAAAUAAUGCUAAUUUGAAGAAAAUAAAAAUAUGAAAAUAAUAAUAAUCUACCACUAUAUAUUAUCACAAGUUAUAUAGAGAUGGGUAAUAAUGCUAAUUAUUAAAUUUUAUUUAGGAAAUGAUGAAAAUUAAUUAGUGAGAUAUGAAUAUUUUGGAGAAUAUCUUUUAAUGGUACCAUUAAAACUUUUUAUAUUAAGCAAAAAAGGUAAAAAAAAUUAGUUCAAUAACUUAAUAACUUAAUGGCUGAAAUUUUUCAUUAAGUUGAAAAAAUAAAUAGAUUUAAUGACUUAAUUGAUUAAAAUUAAGUCAAUUAAGCCAAGUAAAAAAAGCAAAUGACCGCUAAGUCUCUGAAAUGCAAAAAAAAAAAAACACAAAAUUCGUGGGAGGAGCAUUUCAUUGUUGGAUUGGGAACAAAUGGAUUUAAAAAAUGAGAGAAUAAAAGUUGAAUACAAUUACCAAAAAGAUCAUAAAGCCAUCAUUUUUAAGAACAUGUAAAAUGGUAAACAAAAGUUGUUGAAUAAAAGUUGGAAUGUCCUAGAAUCAAUAGACUUGGAAGAAGAAUGUAAACAAAUUCUUGUGCUUGGGUUGUAUGUUAUCCAAUAGAACACGAUGGCAUGUCAAGAACAACCUUCACAAACCAUCUUGUAUAUUGUUUCUGUUUAAUGACUGUUUUUCCUUUCCUUUUCUCGAAACAUAUGCUUAAUGACUUCUUAAGCUGAAUAACCCGUUUCAGCUUUUAAUUGGACUAAAAUCCGUCUGAACCUUUUACCCUUAAAUUUAUGAGCAUAAUUGCGAACGCAGGGAAGUGGAUGUGGUGGGGGUGUUUCGCUACAAGAACACCUGGCCACUGUGUCUGGAGUUCCUUAGAAGCGGAAAGAUUGAUGUAAAGCCCCUUAUCACGCACAGGUUUGGUUUCUCCCAGAAAGAAGUGGAAGAGGCCUUUGAAACAAGUGCUCGUGGUGGUACUGCAAUCAAGGUCAUGUUUAAUCUGUAAGAUACAAUGUACUGCAAUCAAGGUCAUGUUUAAUCUGUAAAAUACAACGGCCAUGUAAACGUUUGGGCAAAAGAUUAAAUAAAAUGGAAUUGUCGCCGUGUAAUAUGAACCAAAGUUGAGCUUAUUAAUUUAUUUCUCAUCACCUUGCAGCCGCCGGCGUCAGAGUAACCGUCAUCUCGCUCUUGGCUAAUCCUAUCAGGCAAACUUUGCCUCCUGGACAAGUGGCAUUCAAAGCCGUUGACAUGGUUUUGUCAAACCCAACACAAUCAAAGCUCACAUCAAUGUCUGAACCCAUUGCAUUUUGUAUCUUCCCCACUUCUGUAUCAACGUCCUGCCAAUGUUUUUGCACAGCUUCAAGGCCUAGAAAAAAUUGGGAAAGUGAAAACAGAGUGAUAAUCAUCUAUAUCUGACAAUUAACCUCGAUAUCUGUUGAGAUUUAACUGUUUCAUCCGCGCCAAGAUUCCUCGCAAUAAAUAGACGCUGAACAUCAACAUCAGUGAUGACAAUUCUGGGGGCACCAAAUGCUCGAGCAGCUAACAGGGUAACAAGGCCUAUCGGUCCUGAUCCCAAGAUCAAUACAUUGGUUUCAGGUCCAACGUUUGCACAUUGCUCCUUCCUCCAAGCUCAUAUUUAUCAGGUAACUUGUAACAUAACUUUGCUGGAUGCACAACCUAGUUGCGGGAAAAAGAAAAUGUCUCCGUUAUUUACAAUUCUUAUGUACAUAGACCGCAUGUGAAAUUAAAAAAAUUCUAGUUUGGGAAGCUGAAGACAUCUGAUCAUUGACCUUAUGGGCAAGAGAGCCGUUGGUUGGAGGAGAUCCAAAGAAUCUCAUUUCAGGACAAAGAUUAUAGCUACCAGCUUUGCAGAGACUGCAGUGUUCGCAACUAAUACCAGGUUCUAGAGCCACACGAUCACCCACCUCAAGGGACUUAACUUCACUGCCAACUUCUUCUAUGAUCCCAGCACACUCAUGUCCAAUUACCAUAGGUUUUUUCACAAUAAAAUUGGCACAUCUCAUAGUCUGAUCAUAAACAACAUUUUGCAUACAAUAAGCAGUGACAGCCUUUGGCAUAUUAUACAGUCAUCAAGAUUUUGCAUAGAGACAGACAGAAAGCUUUUUUCACCUUGAAGUGAUGAACAUCACUUCCACAUAUUCCAAGAGCCUUCAUUCGUACUUUCACAUCUUGAGGACCUAAAAAUUACACAAUUUUUUAUUUUUGGGCAUGGCACGGCAUGACAAGUGAUCUGAUUAAAUUCACAGUUGUGCGUAUAGAAUAACGAGAAGAAGAUUAAAAUAUAAUACCUAGGGUAGGCAAAUGAUAUGGCUGAAUUUUCAGAGUUUUGAUUCCAAGCAGCCAUAUUCUGAUUCUCGUCUCCUUCGUUAUCUCUGAUUGCCUUAACUUCACCAUCAUCACCCUUCUUAUCGGCCAUUUCAAUGUUUCCCUUUUUUUCCUUUCCUCUCGUCCUCUAUUUACACAGUGUUAUUGUGUCUCGUAUUAUCCCCUGGAAGUGAAGCUGACUAGAUCCUAGUUAAAAUUGCCUCCUUUUUCUUUUCUUUUUCCCAUCUCAUUUCCCUUGUGCCUGCCAAACAAACUUCUUAAUUAUUAUAGUCACCUUUUUGUACAGGUAUUCCCUUCCCUCCCAUUAUUAAGUUAUUUAAAUUAUAUGAAUUUUAAAAUAUUAUUUCAUGUGACCAUAUUCAUUAAAAGAAGUCAUGAAAAUCAAAUUAUUGGCUUUCUUUUAGUCCAUAGUACCAUACAAUUCUUUCAUACCAUUUUGCAAAAUUAGCCACCUCCCACAUACAUGUAGUUGAUUUUGAUUCCUUUAUGAAGAUACAAUUAUUGCACAGUUUGGAUUUUGGGGUCCAUAAAUUCUGAAAAAAACAAAAUUAACAAACAACCAACGGUUCUGAAACCAAUAAAUUCUCUCCACGUAAGCACGUUAUCCUGUUGAAAAAGAAACCAUAAUCUCUAUUAGAUAGUGUACAGAGUGAAGUCUCUGCUGUGCACUUGUGUUUUUGAAGGGUGAAAAGCAAAUAUGGGCAAGGGAGGGAUGUCACAAGGAGAAAAGGAAGAUGGAGAAGAAGUUAACAUGGCAGCUUGGCUUAUGGGUGUCAACACUCUCAAGAUUCAGCCUUUGGAGCUUCCUUCUCUGGGUAUUUUUAUCUUUCUUUCAUCUCUGUCUUGUAUCUUAGAAGUGUUAUGGAAUUUGUUUAUUGGUUGAAGAUAUGAACUUUGUUAGGUUGAUAUAUAUCUAAAGAGAGAUCUUUGGUUGAAAAACAAUGAAAACACAUCUUCCAAUACAGCUUAUUUCAUACCUUUUACAAUUGAAUUAACUAUCACUCACAAUUAAUGUAUUUCAAACUGAUUGUUUUAACAUCUUUGUUCGUUAUUUGUAAACUGUAGGACCUUAUGAUGUUUUGGUCAGGAUGAAAGCCGUUGGUGUUUGUGGAAGUGAUGUGCAUUUUCUCAAGGUAUAUUUGUUAAUCCCUCUUUAACUUCCCUUAAAUUAUUAUUAUUAUUAUUAUUAUGGCAAUUACUCUGUCAAAUUGCUGAGAAAUGUUAAUAACGGAAUCUUUUCACUUUAUGUUAUUCAAAAUAAUACUUGAAUGUUGAAUGUUUGUGUAUUUUCGCAGACCUUGAGGUGUGCCGAUUCUGUUGUGAAAGAGCCUAUGGUGAUUGGGCACGAGUGUGCUGGGGUCAUAGAGAAGGUGGGAAGCGAGGUGAAGACUUUGGUGCCCGGUGACCGUGUGGCCCUGGAACCAGCGAUCAGCUGCUGGCAAUGUGAUUACUGCAAAGGAGGUCGAUACAAUUUGUGUCCAGAGUCGAAAGGUCUUGGAAGUCCGCCAGUUCAUGGUUGUCUGGCUAAUCAGGUUGAUUGAAAAUUUACAUUUUGAACUAAGUUCUAUAGGACUAUGAGAUGAGAAAUAUGGUAGACUGACUUUAACACAGUUUAUGCCCUUGUAAAUUUCAGUAAUGAUAUACUUACUACGGUUAGUAUAUACCAUCACUACAGAACAAAAAAAUUUGAUUACAAGAUAAAAGAAAAUUCCACUGUAAGACAAUUUUUUUUUUUUUUUUGCUUUCUCUUACAGAUUUUGUACUAAUAAUUAUACAUACAUUAUUAUUCUAUAAAUUUUACUGUUUGAGAUUUUUUAGUGUAUUAGAUUAUUACUACAAUAUGAUCUAUGCCCUUGUGAAUUCUGUUGUUAAAUAGUGGUGUCACUUUACUUGUUCUUCCAAAAACAUACUGGUUACUGUCAAUUGUGUAGUUCCCAUUUGAUCUUCUGUUCCCUCUUGUCAUAUAUUUUUUAUCUGGCAAUGUUUGUUGAUUCCUUUUAUUUGAAAUGAAAUUGGCUGCUAUCAAAAUUGAUCGGCUGCUUGACACAAUGACUAAGAUGCAUUUCUUCUCUAUAAUAGCUGGUGCAUCCUGCAGACCUAUGUUUUAAGCUGCCCGACAAUGUCAGCCUGGAGGAAGGGGCUAUGUGUGAGCCCUUGAGUGUUGGUCUUCAUGCCUGCCGCCGUGCCAAUAUCGGUCCUGAGACAAAUGUGCUUAUCAUGGGAUCAGGGCCCAUAGGACUUGUCACAAUGCUAGCAGCUCGUGCUUUUGGAGCUCCUAGAAUUGUCAUUGUGGAUGUGGAUGACUAUCGUUUAUCUGUUGCAAAGGAAAUUGGUGCAGAUAAUAUUGUUAAAGUUUCAACAAAUUUGCAGGUAUAUUACUGCUCAUUGCCCAGCAGAAGAGUUUAGAAAAGUAAAAGACAUCUCAAAAUCUUCAUGCUCGCAAUCCUUCCCUUUCUCUUAAUCAUCAUAACAACAUGUUCUGUUCAACCAACUCUGUUGCAUUAAGACCUUGUUCCAACUUCCUCAGUUCAUUUUUGUUCUCAGUACCUUUUUGUUUUAUGUUUGAAAGUUGACCACUCUAAUCUGCACUAUUCUUGUUAUCAGAGUAGAGGUGAGCUUGAGCUUUGGUUCGUUUGAAAAUUGUUCAUGUGCUCCUCACGCUUGUUUUUUCUGCUUGAAUAAACCGCUAUGAGUCUUGAGUAUUUUGCAGGACAUAGCUGAAGAAGUGGAAAAGAUACAGAAAGCCAUGGGGACAGGAAUAGAUGUGAGCUUUGAUUGUGCAGGCUUUAACAAAACCAUGUCAACAGCACUGAGUGCCACUCGUGCAGGUGGUAAAGUAUGCCUUGUGGGGAUGGGUCAUCAUGAAAUGACUGUCCCACUCACUCCGGCUGCUGCAAGGUACUUGAUUUACGGUUUUCUUUUUCAUUCUUUUUUUAUUGUUUUGGGCUACUCUGUUAUUUAGUUUUAAGUUUCUAAUUGGAUUAAGCAAAUUUACUUUAAGGUGGCGUUUAUUUUUUUGUCUCAAAUUUGAAUAAAUUUGAAUUAGUUUGAAUUCUUAAUAUAACUGAAUAUUUGAAUCUUAAUGAUAUAUUUGUUUUCCUUUUUUGUUUGAAUCGAUAAAAAUAAAUUUGAAGUUUUUUUUUACCUGAAAAAUGUAAAAACUAAUAUUUUUACAUUUAUUCCCUUACAAAUUAUAAAUGUUAAACAAAUAAUAAACAUCUCAAAGAAUAUAAAGAAAAUAAUAUAUUAUCAUAACAUAAAUCAUAUUCAAUUGAAUACAACUCUUUAAUAUUCUAUAUUAUAUAUAUUAAUCAAUUUUAUUAUAGUUUAUGAUGUUUUUAUAUGAAAAAUAUUUAUAAAAAAUUAUGAAGAUAAAUAAUGCUAGUUUGAAGAAAAUAAAAAGAUAAAAAUAAUAAUAAUCUACUACUAUAUAUUAUCACAAGUUAUACAGAGAUGGGUAAUAAUGCUAAUUAUUAAAUUUUAUUCAGGUAAGAAUGAAAAUUAAUUAAUUAAAUAUGGAUAUUUUAGAGAAUAUCUUUCAAUGAUUUAUUAAGACUUUUUAAAUUAAGCAAAAAAUUUAAAAAAAAUUAGCUUAAUAACUUAAUGAGUUAAUUGAUUAAAAUUAAGUAAAUUAAGUCAAGCCAAAAAAGCAAAUGAUUCGUAAGUCUCUAAAAUGCAAAUAAAAAAAUAACACAAAAAUUGGUAGGCAGGGGCAUUUCAUUGUUGGAUUGGGAACAAAUGGAUUUAAGAAAUGAGAGAAUUAAGGAUACCCGGAAAGAGCAUAAAGCCAUCAUUUUUAAGAACAUGUAAAAUGGUAAACAAAAGUUGUUGAAUAAAAGUUGGAAUGUCCUAGAAUCAAUAGACUUGGAAGAAGAAUGUAAACAAAUUCUUGUGCUUGGGUUGUAUGUUAUCCAAUAGAACAUGAUGGCAUGUCAAGAACAACUUUCACAAACCAUCUUGUAUAUUAUUUCUGUUUAAUGACUUUUUUUUUCUUUCCUUUUCUCGAAACAUAUGUUUAAUGACAUCUUAAGCUGAAAAACACGUUUCAGCCUUUAAUUGGACUAAAAUCCGUCUGAACCUUUUACCCUUAAAUUUAUGAGCAUAAUUGUGAAUGCAGGGAGGUGGAUGUGGUGGGGGUGUUUCGCUACAAGAACACCUGGCCACUGUGUCUGGAGUUCCUUAGAAGCGGAAAGAUUGAUGUAAAGCCCCUUGUCACGCACAGGUUUGGUUUCUCCCAGAAAGAAGUGGAAGAGGCCUUUGAAACAAGUGCUCGUGGUGGUACUGCGAUCAAGGUCAUGUUUAAUC